ACAAGAAAAGCAAGAGAAAAUCUUAGAGAGAUGGAGAGAGAUCUGGCACGAAGUAUGAAAAAAAACUGAACUGAAAGAGGUAACAAGGUGCUGUCUUUGCUCGAAGAGGAAACAGCUGGCAUGCUGACAUACCUGUAAUGGAUAUCUAACAAAUGCAGGUUCAAAACGAUCUGCACAAUACUUAUAAAACACUAUGGUGGAUACUGGAAGUACGAGAAGAAAUGGCGUAGCAAGAGCAGCUCUUUUGGUACUCAACAGUCCUAAUAGAAUCAGUUGAGAGAUAAUCAGAGCACAUACAAUGCGACCAUGGACAUCAGGCCAGAAUGCUGCACCACUUUCAUAUUCCUGGCUAUAAACAUUUACGAUCUGCAUUCAGAGAGAAUAGUGAUACAUCCCACAAAAGAAUAAUAAUGGAUAAGUGGAUAUAUAAGUUGAACAAUAGGUGCAAAUGGCAUUGGUCACAAGUCACAACUAGUAUCUACAUAUGAAUGGAUAUACUGACUGUACUAUUCCUUCUACUAUGAAAAGUAGUAGCUAAAGAUACCAAGUCUUUACCUGAUGACGGAACACAGCAUAAGCCAGGCCAAAGAAAACGAUUAUGAACAGAAGUAAAACUGGUGUAAUUGUAGAGUAUACAAAGCCCAGUAAGAUAUAAAGCUGUAUACGAGGCUCCCCAACAUGGAAACCAAUACUUCCUGGAGCCAUUGCCUCCUCCCUGUCCUUAUCAGUCUUCACUAGGAAGGUAUUCUUAAAGUGAUAUAGAAUCAGUGGCAGCAACAUUAAGAUCUCAGCAGCGAUACCAGCCCACCCAUCAACCAUUAUAUAUGUCAUGAAGAAAGUAGCUUUCAUUGGGAUUGCAAAGCCGAUUGUCUCUGGAAUGCUGCCAAAAAAACUUUAAGUCAAAAUUUAAAUGAUACUAGAAGAAAGUUUAUAUACUUUUAGUUUCAAAAUACAUACACAUUUGCUGAUUGGUGAAUUAAAGUAUAAAGCUGAUCAAAUGCUGAUCCGACAAAAAUGCUACCCAGGAAUACAUUCAUUAAAGAAAAGAGGUAGUAUCUAGACGCUACUCUCCUCUCAAGAGAAGACCGAGAAGGAUAACCCUCAAAUUUAGCCAUCAUCAUCAAUAUCAUUGGCAAAAAUAUCAAAAAUAACUUCAAUGCAAUUCCCGGUAGAAAGCCUGUCAUGACUGACUUGAUGAACUUCCUGCAUAUGUAUCAAGGUAAGAUUACUAACUAGUGCUAGUAAAAACUAGAUGCCAAGUCAAAAAGGUUCAAGGAAGAGAUAACUCACAGUUUGACAAUGGGAUUUAGGAAUGGAGCUUCUUUCUUAAGUCCCUCCACACUUGCAAGAGAUUGUACAAAUGCAAUGGGGAUCAAGGAAAACAAGGUGAGGAAAACAAAUGCAACACCCAUGAUGAGCCUCUUAACAGUGAGUUUCACAUAUGGAAUUGCCAGAUUUGGCCAAUAUACAUCACGCGGCUCUGGAGCCCAUUCAGUUAACCAAGUAGUUGGAUUUCUAGAUUGCUGAGUUUGCGCACAAACAGCAGCACCCCAUCUGCUUUUAAAGGACACAAAGGCAGCUGGCAUGAUAGACUUGGGAUCGUUUUUAACCCUCUCCCUUUCUUCAGGUAUCUGAGAAAAAAACAAUAAUGCAUUUGAAACAACCAAGAACAUGGCAGUAUAUAUUUGACAAAGAAAUGAAUAAACUGGUACGUACUUCCUUCUUCAUUUUCACAAUCUCAGAUUGAUAAUGUUCAAUUGCAUCAACUUUCUUUCCCCAAAGCCCAAGAAAACCAGUCUGAUAGUCGUAUAUGCACAUCCAGGUCAAAGAGAAAAUCAAAUAUCAACUUUAGAACUUGGAAACACUUUAGCAGUUAGUAGAAGAUCAAUUUAUUUACCUUAAUGAAGGGCCUCACUGAAGUUUUGCUUCUUUCAAGUUUGUUCUCGUAGUAGACAAGCCAGUUAUCCAUUUUUUUCUUCUUCUUUACCAAUUUUGCAAGCUUGUUGGCGUCGUAUACCACCUGCAAAUAGUUUUUUAACUGGAUCAAGUUUGAGAAAACACAAGACUUCUUUCUAAACAAACAAUUGUAUAGCUUCAGCAGUUCAAGGAUUAAGUAAAGAGGACGUUUCAAAAGCUCUAUCCUGGCAAAGAGAACAUAAUGAAAUAUGGAUACCUAUUCAAUAGGAAGUGUGUAUGGCUUGCCAGGAUAAAGAUACUGCAGAUACUGCAUUGUUGAUUUUGUAAACCCAAAACUUUCUCAUGUAAAAUCUCACAAAAAUGCAUUAGUGAAAUAAAGCUUUAAUAGGUUUAUAUACAAUGAUAACUCUCUUAAGCCUGUAAAUGAUAGCGUCUUAAAAUUCUAAUCGACAUUUUGUACUGUAUAAGAGCACAUAUUCUUUGGGAACAAACCUGAUGAGUAAGAUAAUGAUCUGGAUGGUUGGCCAGAAAAAAGUGCUCCACAACCUCACUUACAGAUUCCUCUGGAUCUGGUGGAACAUUUCUUACAAGGGCCUGUAAACAAUAAGCUAAUUUGGCUUGUAAGCAUGCCAUUGUGGAUUUUUAUCAUUUUUUCUGAAAGAUAAUGCAGAUGAACUCUGCUUGUAUCUGCCGUAUAGGCUAGCUAAACAUUCAAGAAUAUUUAUCAGCUAACCUCAAAUAUUAACGUCAGUUCUUAUGCUUACUACUUUAAAAUAUACAUGAUCACUAUAUCAAGCAAUUGACAUCAGUGCUCAAAUCUUAAUCUGAACUCUACUUAGGCACAAAGCAAUGAAGAUGAAAUGCUUAUUCUUAGCAUAUUCAUGAUAAGUAUAUCAACCAUUGACAUUGUGCUCAUGAGUUUCUUAUUUGAAUAAACACUGAUUUAAACUUAUAUGUAGAGGCAUUGAGUCAAUCUCACCGUAAAUUUAUCUGGUCGUCGUUUUUCUGUUGCAAGAAAAUGCAACCGCAUUGUGGCAACUUUCUCAUACUCCCUCAACAGCACACAACAUGUCCAAAAGGUGAAGGCAUACGCCAUCACUACAUGAGUCCACAAUCUGUCAAAUACAACCGCAUGAAUAUUGCAGUACUCAUUUGUCAGCAAGAUAUAAGAAACUUAUGCAUGAUUGAAUUCUUCAAAAUUUUCUACUGUCUUCAUGAAUUGGAUGUAAAUAACACCACAUAGGUAGACUAAAUACAGAGAGUAACAGUGGCAACAAUUAGAAAAUGAAUGCUACUAUGAUAUUUAGAAUUAUCCAACAAUCAUUUGUUCUACAAAAAGGCAGAAACUUUAUAGAGGCGGGUGUCUCACCUUUGAGAUCUAUAUGGGAUAUUUGAAAUAGAGAGCUUAUCAAUGUUUGUAGAAGUAAUAUUGGCUUGCUUGCCGGCUAUAUCCAAAGUGUUAUCUGUCCAGUUGAUCGGUAUCAAAAUAACCCAUGCAACAAAUGCUAUUGGAACAAAGAUUUUAAGCCUGCAUGAAUUCAACUACAUAAGGAGAAUAGAAUCAUCAACAUAAGCUAACAUCUUAGAAGUGAAGAACUAAAAUGACUUGCAUUUUCAAAAGAAUUAUGCAUAUAAUUAAGAAAAGAUCAAAAUAAAAGAGAACUUUGCAGCCUACCCCAUCAAGUAUAUCCUCAAGUAAACAGCAGAAUCCAAUCCUGCAUGAUCAAUAAGCUCCGGUUCCGGCAUCUUCAAUGCUUCCGGCACCCAAUUCAGAAACCUCACAUAUGACCUAUAGUCUAGAUUGACAAAUUUGCUCCCGAAUGUGCCAGAGCUUGUGGGACUGCCUCUCUCUCCCUUCAAAUACCAUUUCGCAAAGUACACUCUGUCGUUGCAAGGCUGAAGCCUGAGAAACGCAAAUAUUAUAAAGAAAACAAAAGCGCUGAGGAUGUUGAUGGCUGCUCCAACCCCUAUAUCCCAAAGUGUAGCCAUUUUGUUUUUAUAUUGUCACACUGAAAACUGCAUUACCCUAUGAAACGAUCAUGAAUUAGAACCAAAACGCACAAACUUACAAAUCGAACUAAAGCAAAGCAGAGCUCUCUGCUAUUGUUUCAAGUUAAUAAACCAAGAAAGAAGUUGAAGAUUCAGCUAGAGAUGGUGUAGAGCUAAAGCAAAGAGAGCAAAGACAGGACAAGAAAAGCUUACCUGGAACACAUGCAACUGUUGCUUCAAUCUGAGCCACUCGCAGAGAACAGACAUUAUAUCCACAACAACAACAACAACCACAACAACAACAACAACAAUAAUAAGAACAGUGACGAUGAUCGGAGACAUUAUUGGAGAUUGGUGGGGGCGAAAUUCGCCCCCCUUUUGGUUUUGGACUUGGGAAGGGGAAGACUGCGACAUUUUGCGGGAAAAGGCGGUUCGGUUCUUCACGCGCUUUACAAUGCGUUUGGGGGCCAAUCGCAUUGACGCAAAUCAGAAUCCGAGCAUCCGACACUACGUUGGUAAAAGUAAAAUUGUGACCCGAGUGAGAGAUCCCAUAACAGGGGCUGAAAGUAAUUUGGAUACAGCCUCUCUCCUCAAGGGGUGUAUGUCACAAGCUCGGAUUCACACUUGGUGCACGUUUGGUACUCGGAAUUAUAUUAAAUCUUUAUAUUUUUUUAAGACCGUCUUGUAUUUAUGUGGAGUACCUUAAGUUGUAUUAAUAUUAACUCAUGUUUGGUGUUGUUGUAUUAGAUUAGAGUGUAGUUUAUUUGAUUUAUAGUUUAGAAUGAUAGUGUUAUCUAAUAAUGACAUAUUUGAGUACCCAUAAUAACACCAUCUAAGGAGGCCAAAAUGAAAACAAGGUGUUACGUAAGCUCAUUUAUUUUAAUACCCAAUAACACCAAACACAGUACUAACUAAACUAGUCUUAUGAAAUAAACAUGCACACAGUGUAUCAACAUUUCGUCUCAGUUAGCAUGCUUUCACUAGUCACUAGACCAAUCUAGUCUGGUACCCUUGGUCUUUGGAAUUUGGAUUUUUCUCUGCCGAAUGUGACUCAAUAUUGAGUCCAAGAUUCGUUGAUUCCAAUAUUUGCUAUUGUACUCUUUGCCGACUUAUAACACAGUAUGUUCAUGCCUUUCCAGUCCAUUAAUACAGACUCAAUAUCUAAUUUGUUACAUGAAAGCUUGGAAAGUAGGAAUCCUGCCAUAUAUCAAAAGAAUAUGGACCUCGGAAAAACUCUCUUUCGAGCAAACGAUGAGGUCACACAAUCGGCUGUUCCAUCAAAGAGAUGGGAGAAAUUUGGAAAGUUCACACUACUAGACUAUGACGCUUCUUCUAUUAUGAUAUAUAAGUAGAUCAAUCAAUUUACACACCAGAGCAAAAAUCAGUCGCAUAAUUACACAGUUUGUCAACAGAUAGAGAAACAAAACCGACUUCCUUGCACACCAGCCUAGCCUCUAUGCCAAAAUAUGAAUUAAAGUAAUCUUUCAGCCGGCUGCAAACAAAACUCACAACUUGCUACGUAUAGUGGAAACUAUGCUCGACGGGGUUCCCUCUGUCCUCCCCGUGCAUCAUUUUCAGGUCAUUCAGUUUUUACAGUUCCAUCAUCUUGAACUUAUGCACAACAUCGGAAGGUCAAAUGUACAGCUAAGAUUUACGGAGGCUACUCACAACUCAAGGCUGUAGAUCUUCAACAGCAUCUGGCAACGAGGGCGUGGAUUGAUCAGUCAUCCUGCUAGGCACUGGAGUGUUCCGUCGGGAUUGGCGUUUUGUGGCCACAGUCACACAACUCUCAUUUUCGUACUUUUCAAACGAGUAAUGAUCUUCAUCGUCGUCGUCGUCGCACUCUUUGAAAACUGGAUGGACAUAUGCACUUUGGAGGUAGCCUUUCAAGUUCAAGUUUGGUUCUCUUGCGCUUUCCAGAGUAUCUUUCAUCUUCGCUUCCUGAUUCCAUAAAAGUAAAGAACAAAGUAACUUUUAGAGAGAGAGAGAGAGAGAGAGAGAGAGAGAGAGAGAGAGAGAGAGAGAUCUCGACAAACUAAAAGUUAAAAAUUAAAAAAUAANNNNNNNNNNNNNNNNNNNNGAGAGAGAGAGAGAUCUCGCACAAAGUAUUAAAAAAAUGAACUAACAUAGGUAAUAAGACGACUCAAAACUGACAUACCUGUAAUGGAUAUCUAACAAAUGCAGGUUCAAAACGACCUUGGCAAUACUUAUAGAAUGCAAAGGUCAAUACUGGAAGUGCAAGAAGAAAUGGUGUAGACUGAGCAGCUUUUUUGGUAGUCAACAA
RNAcentral lists this long non-coding RNA (6190 nucleotides) under Fragaria vesca (wild strawberry). RNAcentral's name for it is "long non-coding RNA (FVES_LNC001104)". The record is from RNAcentral. Lineage: Eukaryota; Viridiplantae; Streptophyta; Magnoliopsida; Rosales; Rosaceae.